GCCUGGCUAGCUCAGUUGGUACAGCAUGAGUAUCUUAAUCUUAGGGUCGUGGGUUCGAGCCCCACGUUGGGCG
Molecule: non-coding RNA, 73 nt
Organism: Trichechus manatus latirostris (Florida manatee)
Lineage: Eukaryota; Metazoa; Chordata; Mammalia; Sirenia; Trichechidae
Source: the annotation of a RefSeq genome assembly